Molecule: ribosomal RNA, 305 nt
Filed under: uncultured bacterium
Lineage: Bacteria
Description: bacterial SSU rRNA
Rfam family: Bacterial small subunit ribosomal RNA
Source: RNAcentral
CCUACGGGGCGCAGCAGUGAGGAAUAUUGGUCAAUGGGCGGAAGCCUGAACCAGCCAAGUCGCGUGAGGGAUUAAGGCCCUGCGGGUCGUAAACCUCUUUUGCCGGGGAGCAGAGGUCCGGACGUGUCCGGGCCGGGAGAGUACCCGGAGAAAAAGCAUCGGCUAACUCCGUGCCAGCAGCCGCGGUAAUACGGAGGAUGCGAGCGUUAUCCGGAUUUAUUGGGUUUAAAGGGUGCGUAGGCGGUCUGUUAAGUCAGCGGUCAAAGCCCGGGGCUCAACCCCGGCCCGCCGUUGACACUGGCAGU